GAUGAACGCUAGCGGCAGGCCUAACACAUGCAAGUCGAGGGGUAGCAGGGUAGCAAUAUCGCUGACGACCGGCGCACGGGUGAGUAACGCGUAUGCAACCUUCCUUUAACUGGGGCAUAGCCCGGAGAAAUUCGGAUUAAUACCCCAUAAUAUUUCAGGAACACAUGUUUUUGGAAUUAAAGCUCCGGCGGUUAAAGAUGGGCAUGCGUGCCAUUAGCUAGUUGGUGAGGUAACGGCUCACCAAGGCUACGAUGGUUAGGGGGUCUGAGAGGAUGAUCCCCCACACUGGUACUGAGACACGGACCAGACUCCUACGGGUGGCAG
Molecule: ribosomal RNA, 324 nt
Filed under: uncultured Bacteroidota bacterium
Lineage: Bacteria; Pseudomonadati; Bacteroidota
Description: bacterial SSU rRNA
Rfam family: Bacterial small subunit ribosomal RNA
Source: RNAcentral